Molecule: ribosomal RNA, 301 nt
Filed under: uncultured bacterium
Lineage: Bacteria
Description: partial 16S ribosomal RNA
Rfam family: Bacterial small subunit ribosomal RNA
Source: RNAcentral
CAGCAGCCGCGGGAAUACGUAGGUGGCAAGCGUUGUCCGGAAUUAUUGGGCGUAAAGGGCUCGCAGGCGGUUUCUUAAGUCUGAUGUGAAAGCCCCCGGCUCAACCGGGGAGGGUCAUUGGAAACUGGGAAACUUGAGUGCAGAAGAGGAGAGUGGAAUUCCACGUGUAGCGGUGAAAUGCGUAGAGAUGUGGAGGAACACCUGUGGCGAAGGCGACUCUCUGGUCUGUAACUGACGCUGAGGAGCGAAAGCGUGGGGAGCGAACAGGAUUAGAUACCCCGGUAGUCCCUGUUCUUAUACA